GAAAAAUAAUUAAUUUUCCUUUCUCUCACCCUCCAAAUCUAAAACUCGCCACUGGCCUUUUCUCUAGUGAGAAAAAUGCAUGAAAAAUGCAUUUAAAGGUUCUGCUCAUUUUAAAGUACUUUUCAUAAACACUGGCUUCACGCCAAGCUUUCGAGGCAGGGAAUGCAUCACCCAUUAAUUCAAGCAGAAACGUUCCUCUCCCAUGAAUCACAUAGGAAGGAAUAUUCCAUGCCACCACACCCAGCUAAUUUUUGAAAAAAAAUUUUUGUAGAGGUGGGGUCUCACUAUAUUUCCCAGGCUCGUCUCCAAUCCUGGCCUCAAGCAAUCUUCCCACCUUGGCCUCCCAGAGUGCUGAGAUUACAGGUGUGAGCCACUGUGCCCAACCUUGGGUCAACUUAAGAUGUCUGCUGAGGUGGUUGUGAAGCAGUAACUGAAUUUAAUCCUGAUUCCAGCCAAGAAGGGUUCCUGAGUUAGGACAGAAAAGUACCAACAGCACUUGCUCAAUGGGUCCUGGCACUUUUAUUUGCAAGUUACAUGACUAAUCACUAGAUUUCUCUGGUCCUCAGUUCUCUAUCUGUAAACUAAGUAGGUUGAACUAGAAGACCUCUAAUUUAAUCUAGAGA
RNAcentral lists this long non-coding RNA (623 nucleotides) under Homo sapiens (human). RNAcentral's name for it is "non-protein coding lnc-LDHAL6B-1:1". The record is from RNAcentral. Lineage: Eukaryota; Metazoa; Chordata; Mammalia; Primates; Hominidae.